RNAcentral lists this long non-coding RNA (205 nucleotides) under Glycine max (soybean). Its description in RNAcentral is "long non-coding RNA (GMAX_LNC000101)". The record is from RNAcentral. Lineage: Eukaryota; Viridiplantae; Streptophyta; Magnoliopsida; Fabales; Fabaceae.
CUAGGCAUUUCCCAUUAUGGACCCAGAGGUUAGGUUCACAUUGUUCUUCCACAUUGAUCAAAAUAAGGUGUCCAAAGCCUGGAAACCAUUAAUCACAUUAUUAAUGGGCUUAAACAUUAUCAAAUGGAUCAUAAUAUUAGUUUGUUUUUGAUAAAAUAAAAUAUUCAAUUAAUAGUAGCCCAAAAAAUUAAUAGGGAAAUUCUAA